Carcharodon carcharias (great white shark) is the source of this 3917-nucleotide long non-coding RNA. RefSeq lists it as uncharacterized. The transcript has 2 exons. The record is from RefSeq and is a predicted model, not a curated record. Lineage: Eukaryota; Metazoa; Chordata; Chondrichthyes; Lamniformes; Lamnidae.
CUUUUAUUUUUUUUUGUAAAUUAAGUAAGCAAUUUAAUAAGCCAUUAACGAUACACACACACACACACACAAUAAACCUAAGAAGUGGUGGCAGCUUUUUUGAGAAAGAAAUACGAUUUAUGGGGACAAUCGAAUAAAAAAAAACACAUUACUAACAAAACCUUAAUGAAGACUUUUCUGACAUUGUUGCAGAACAUUAAAGACGCCGACAACAUCUCCGAGGUUGUGUGUGGGGUUAACAAGGUCGUUACGCCUUUGUCCUUUUAUUAAGAUGAUGUUGGACGCGGGUUUUUAGACACUCUGAGACUGGCCAAAUGCUCAUUCGUGUGCCCCCUGCAGACUGUGCUCUCCAGGCUGCUCCCCACCCCCUUCCCCCAGGGCUGUCAGCCCAGUAAAUUGCCGCAUUUCAUAUAGCACAGGAGCCGGACAAAAGCUCACACUCGCCGCUUUGUCGAAUAUAUUUCUCUUGUAUUCGUUUAGCAUCAAAAUAACGACGCUUUGGUGGCUCUGUGUCUUUGUGUGUGUGUGUGUGGCUGUUUAAACAGUGCUUUGAUCAGCACUGUCAGCUCAGAUGCUAUAACUGACCCAAUAUAAAUGGAUUUAUGGCUCUAUUCAACACUUGCUUCAAACCAAUGGCCAAAAGAAGGCCCUUCAAGUCAGUUUACAAUGUCUCUCUCCUGUACAGGAAACCCACAUGUAAUCGGGCUCCUAUCGCCAGUUAAAUAUUUCCAUCGUUCCUUCCCACAAUCUUGGAUCCCGGAGUUACCAUCAAUCCAGUUUAAGGCUAACCGUCUAUUUCAAACGCACGGCUGCUAAUUUAACCGGAGUGCCCCCGCCCCUUUCCCUGUGAGUUACUAUCCUUCCUUCUGUCGGAUACGUUGAUCUAUGGCAGGGAGGAAUGUAUUAUGGGCAAAACCGAGGAUGCAGCCACCAAGAAUGCCCAAUUGCUUGUGCCGCGCAGAUCACACAGCAGAGGAUCAGAGGGAGAAUGCAGAUUUGGGAACCCAAGGCCAUUUUGGAGCUGUGAUCGGUUGUGAGUGGAGCAUAUCUCUGUGAAGCAUGCCAGCAAUGAUCUGAGGGAGCUGUGAUCGCCGUGGAAGUUACCAUGCACAGCUUUCAGGGUGAUGUCAAGUUUGACACUACAGAUAAGGAGGAGUCAGCACUGCCUUUCUACUGCCAGCAGAGGGCCGCGACUGGGUCCUAAAGCCCACCAAACCCAUUCUCAACAAACAAUCUGGUUCGGACAUUUAAAGUUCAAUGGCAAGAGAUUUUUUUUUUGUUUUCAGCGCUCGCAAACUAAUCAUUCUAAAACAUUUUCCUUUGAUCGAUCUUUGUUAAUUUUCAAUAUAAUAACAAAUAAAGUACUUUAUGCCGAAAUAGUGCGUGCUGGAGGUCGGGGUGGUGGUGAGGUGGGAUGGGUCCCUUUAACUUCAAUAUAGUAAAUGCUGGAACGUUAUUUACAAGAUAAAGUACAAUUCCAUUCGCGCAGAUACUGUUAAGCCCUAUUCCCAGUAAAGCCUUUAGUCUCUCCCAUCUGUUCCCCCACUAUGGCCCCUAUCUUUGCUCCCAAAGGGCGCAGACAAACACAUGAUUGAGUUAGCUAUCCAUCAUUAAAUCUGGCUGGACCACAUCAAGUACAUUGGGCCGCACUUCCCGCAGCCACUACUCCAGGCUCACUCUGGAGAGCUGUCUUCUUUUCUCCACUACCCUUAAACACAUAUACUCUUCCCCUCACCGUCACUUUCAACAACAAAAGUGAGACACUUUUAUGUACUACGUUUUCUUUGCAAAUAUUAAAACUAUUUAUUCUCUUGUCUCCGUUGUUUCUGUCCCUACCCCUUGUCCACAAAUUCAAACCUCCCUCUUGCUCUGGACCUGAACGCAUUGCUCUUCACGCCCUCUCUGAGCUAAUCUGCCUAUGUGACAUACCUCCUGUUCCCUUGGUCUCAUUCUCACUAAACUGCUGGCUACCCAAUUUCAUUUCCUAGCUCUCAUACUAACAGACAAAAUAUAUGGUUUCUUCUCCUCUGGUACUGACCUCUCCCUUCCAUAAAUACUGUUAUAACACCCCUCCUCAAAACCUAUUAAUAACUCCAACUCCCUGCAAAUUACUACACUGUCCCCAACCUCCAUUUUUUUUGGAUUAAUGCCCACUUUUGACUGAUUAAUCCUUUGUGCAACAUCUUGGGAUGUUUCCCCACGUUAAAGGUUCCAUAUAAAAACCGGUGCUUCCAAAACAUUAUUGCUUACUACUUACUUUCCUUUAAGAAUAUAAGUUAUUAGUAUUUAUCUAUGCCCAUUCCUUUACCCUUUAAUUUUGAGUUGCUUAGAUGAAUGACGCUAUCUGCCAUUUAUAGAUAAGUCAUUGCAAUCAAGCCAAUAAAUUGUCUGUUACAGUGGAGAUGAAAGCAUGCUUUCUUAGGAGUUUAGGAAAGGCUACUAUAGUAGGUCUUAAAUUUACACUAUUGUCUCUCAUUUCCCUUUCCCCUGAUCCAUCUACUCAAAGUAGUAAUUAAUGUUUAAGCUUGUCAUACUGAAAUUGGAGUCUGAAGCUGAUUAAAGCAUUGUGCUGCAUUUGGUGCUUUAAUCAGCUCACUAUCCUGUAUUUCAGCAUUUAACACACCAGAGCAUUCAUUAGAAUCUUGUUAAUGCAUAGUUAAGCUACUGGCUAACAAUAAUUAUAAAUCAGUGAAGAUAUUAGGAUUGAAGGGCAAAUCCUAAAUUCUUACAGCAACAACACAAAAAAAGAUAGAAUAACAAAGUGACAUUCACUGGAUGAAUUCCAUUCCAAAUCCUUAACUGUAAACAAAAACAAAAUGUUUUAAAGAUAAAAGUCAAACUGGGUGUAUUUCCUGUAUGACUGUAAUGAAUGAUCCAUUCUGAUAUUGGGAAUUUAAAUUCACUUAAUUGAGACGAUGCUUCACUACUCUCCAAUCCAUCAUAACACCAGCUAGAACAAAUUGGCUACUGUCUUAGUUACUCAGAUCUGAAAUAUUGGCAUGCUGCAUGUAUUGCACUAUAACUGGUUGAAAUACUGUAAAACUAUUUUAAUACAAUUCUUUUGGAAAGAUUGCAAUCUGAAUUCAUGAACAUGGGCAUUUUAUAACAUUUGCCUGAUAAUUUAAUUAAAUCCAUCUAGAAGGAAGUAAAUUUUUCUGGUAACAUUGUAAGGGAAUACAAGCACAAGGUAUUGCUUGUAUUUAAAGAGUACCUUUAAAUGGGCCAAUUAUAAUAGAUGUCAAUAAUAUAAACUUAAGGACCAUACUGACUUUUAGUUUUGAAAGAGUGCCCUGUUUUACACAUGAAACUUCUUCUAGUUGUAAUGAAUCUGUUGUAUUUGACCUUGUUUUCAAAAUGUGUGUCAGCACUACAAAGCCGAAGGGUGCUGAUAGCUAUUUUAUGGAAAAACUCUCCAAUUUUCAAAUUUAAUGUAAUUUCUGUAAAGUGCAUUGCAGAAGGUUGGAAAGUUACAUAUGUCCCUUCAAAUGGUAAUUUUUCAUUGAUCCACAAUGGCAAAAUGCAACCAGUUUAACAAUAAAAUUUAAUUACAAAUAAAACAAUCUAAAUAUUGUAAUCUUGAACUUUGUAUCAAAAUGAAACAGCAUUACAAAACCUAAAAAUUGUCUCAGUUUCCCACUUUCCGUUAUGUACAACAUGUAUCACUACAUAUUGUGAUCAUGAAAUGAAGGCUGGAAUGUAAUGAGAGAUUCAAUAUCUACCAUAAACUUGUGGCAUAUGCUAAUCUUUUAAAUUGUAAGAUGUAUUUAGAGCCAUUUUGCUCAUUAUCCACCUUUUGUGUUUUUAUAUAUUUAUUACAGGAAUAAUAAAAUAAUAAGAGUACAAUUAUGCUGAUUGAAGAUUGUAUGCGUGUAUUAUGGUCCAAUUGCUAUAUAAUAAAGUUAUCAUGGGUUUUAUAA